Molecule: ribosomal RNA, 114 nt
Organism: Gorilla gorilla gorilla (western lowland gorilla)
Lineage: Eukaryota; Metazoa; Chordata; Mammalia; Primates; Hominidae
Source: Ensembl
GUCUACAGCCAUACCACCCUGAAUGCGCCCUAUCUCGUCUGAUCUCGGAAGCUAACCAGGGUCAGGCCUGGUUAGCACUUGGAUGGGAGAAAAGAGAGAAGGGCUUUGUUGAAU